RNAcentral lists this ribosomal RNA (623 nucleotides) under uncultured Bacillus sp. RNAcentral's name for it is "bacterial SSU rRNA". It matches the Rfam family "Bacterial small subunit ribosomal RNA", at positions 77 to 688 of the family's 1533-position model. Lineage: Bacteria; Bacillati; Bacillota; Bacilli; Caryophanales; Bacillaceae. The record is from RNAcentral.
AGCUUGCUUUUUAGUUAGCGGCGGACGGGUGAGUAACACGUGGGCAACCUGCCUGUAAGACUGGGAUACUUCGGGAAACCGGAGCUAAUACCGGAUAAUUCUUUCCUACUCAUGUAGGAAAGCUGAAAGACGGUUUACGCUGUCACUUACAGAUGGGCCCGCGGCGCAUUAGCUAGUUGGUGAGGUAACGGCUCACCAAGGCGACGAUGCGUAGCCGACCUGAGAGGGUGAUCGGCCACACUGGGACUGAGACACGGCCCAGACUCCUACGGGAGGCAGCAGUAGGGAAUCUUCCGCAAUGGACGAAAGUCUGACGGAGCAACGCCGCGUGAGUGAUGAAGGUUUUCGGAUCGUAAAACUCUGUUGUUAGGGAAGAACAAGUAUGAGAGUAACUGCUCGUACCUUGACGGUACCUAACCAGAAAGCCACGGCUAACUACGUGCCAGCAGCCGCGGUAAUACGUAGGUGGCAAGCGUUGUCCGGAAUUAUUGGGCGUAAAGCGCGCGCAGGCGGUCCUUUAAGUCUGAUGUGAAAGCCCACGGCUCAACCGUGGAGGGUCAUUGGAAACUGGGGGACUUGAGUGCAGAAGAGGAGAGUGGAAUUCCACGUGUAGCGGUGAAAUG